UUUAACGGCUGCGGUAUUUUGACCGUGCUAAGGUAGCAUAAUCAAUUGUUUUUUAAUUGAAAACUAGUAUGAACGGUUUAAUUUACUUAAUUAGUUUGUAAUUUUUAAUAGCAAGUUAAAUAUAAAGUAAGAAUUCUUUAAUAAAUUAGGGGACGAUAAGACCCUAAAAGCUUUAUGAUUGGCAUUUAAUUGGUGAUAGCGGUGUUAUUAAUUCACUGGGGCAGUGAGUUUAGGUAUAUUUAAGUAUAAUUAAAAGCUCCUUUAAAUAAAGAUUUCAUGUAUAAGUUACUUUAGGGAUAACAGUGCAAUAUAUU
RNAcentral lists this ribosomal RNA (314 nucleotides) under Dikerogammarus haemobaphes. RNAcentral describes it as "partial 16S ribosomal RNA". Lineage: Eukaryota; Metazoa; Arthropoda; Malacostraca; Amphipoda; Gammaridae. The record is from RNAcentral.